AACGAACGCUGGCGGCGUGGCUAAGGCAUGCAAGUCGAACGGAUCUAUCCCAAGGGUAACUGAGGGAUAGGUGAGUGGCGGACGGGUGAGUAAUACAUGGACAACGUACCCCGGAUUCAGGGAUAACGGCGGGUUCCGAGCAAUCGGAAUCCUUUGCGAAAGUGCCGCUAAUACCUGAUGACGCCGAAACACCGCAUGGUGUUUCGGCCAAAGUUACGGCGAUCUGGGAGCGGUCCAUGCCUAUCAGCUAGUUGGUAGGGUAACGGCCUACCAAGGCUACAACGGGUACCGGGUGUGAGAGCACGACCCGGCACAUCGGAACUGAGACACUGUCCGGACACCUACGGGUGGCUGCAGCAACGAAUAUUCCGCAAUGGGCGAAAGCCUGACGGAGCGACGCCGCGUGCAGGAUGAAGUCCC
This 420-nucleotide ribosomal RNA is filed under the name uncultured bacterium. RNAcentral's name for it is "bacterial SSU rRNA". It matches the Rfam family "Bacterial small subunit ribosomal RNA", at positions 29 to 417 of the family's 1533-position model. The record is from RNAcentral.